GGGGCUGGGGCUCAGCAGCAGAGCACUCACCUCUCAUGUGAGAGACCCUGAGUUCGAUCCUCAGCACCA
This 69-nucleotide transfer RNA is filed under the name Ictidomys tridecemlineatus (thirteen-lined ground squirrel). RNAcentral's name for it is "Spermophilus tridecemlineatus (thirteen-lined ground squirrel) tRNA". It matches the Rfam family "tRNA". From Rfam's summary of the family: Transfer RNA (tRNA) molecules are approximately 80 nucleotides in length. Their secondary structure includes four short double-helical elements and three loops (D, anti-codon, and T loops). Further hydrogen bonds mediate the characteristic L-shaped molecular structure. tRNAs have two regions of fundamental functional importance: the anti-codon, which is responsible for specific mRNA codon recognition, and the 3' end, to which the tRNAs corresponding amino acid is attached (by aminoacyl-tRNA synthetases). tRNAs cope with the degeneracy of the genetic code in two manners: having more than one tRNA (with a specific anti-codon) for a particular amino acid; and 'wobble' base-pairing, i.e. permitting non-standard base-pairing at the 3rd anti-codon position. Lineage: Eukaryota; Metazoa; Chordata; Mammalia; Rodentia; Sciuridae. The record is from Rfam by way of RNAcentral.